This 434-nucleotide ribosomal RNA is filed under the name uncultured bacterium. RNAcentral's name for it is "bacterial SSU rRNA". It matches the Rfam family "Bacterial small subunit ribosomal RNA", at positions 471 to 905 of the family's 1533-position model. The record is from RNAcentral.
GACCUAUCCCUGGAGGAAGCACGGGCUAAGUUCGUGCCAGCAGCCGCGGUAAGACGAACCGUGCGAACGUUGUUCGGAAUCACUGGGCUUAAAGGGCGCGUAGGCGGGUCAUCAAGUCAGGGGUGAAAUCUUUCGGCUUAACCGGAAAACAGCCUCUGAUACUGGUGGUCUGGAGGGAGGUAGGGGCAGAUGGAACUUCCGGUGGAGCGGUGAAAUGUGUUGAUAUCGGAAGGAACGCCGGUGGCGAAAGCGAUCUGCUGGACCUCUUCUGACGCUGAGGCGCGAAAGCUAGGGUAGCGAACGGGAUUAGAUACCCCGGUAGUCCUAGCCCUAAACGAUGGGUACUAGAUAGUGGACUUGACAUGGGUUCACUGUCGAAGCAAAAGUCUUAAGUACCCCGCCUGGGGAGUAUGGUCGCAAGGCUGAAACUCAAA